Anneissia japonica is the source of this 537-nucleotide long non-coding RNA. RefSeq lists it as uncharacterized. The transcript is spliced from 2 exons. The record is from RefSeq and is a predicted model, not a curated record. Lineage: Eukaryota; Metazoa; Echinodermata; Crinoidea; Comatulida; Comatulidae.
UUAUUUAUUUUUUUUGUUUGUAAUAUGGUGAUUGAUAUUUUUUUAUGUUUAUUAUUUUUACAAUUAUGAUUGUUGAUAUAAUUUAAUUUUUUUUCGGUUUGGUAACCAUGUAGACAUAGGCAUGUAAUUUACUGCAUAAGAACUUCACAACCAACCAAGUGGUGGCUCUGUAAUCAUGGCCUAAGUCGACAUCAGGGGGUCCGACAUAUACGACAGCCGGGUCUAAACCUAUCCGACUAGAGCCUCGGCCAGGGAGGGUCCCGGAAUAUAAAUUCCAGUUCAUGGCGCGAGUUGAGCUUUUAGACCACAAUAUUAAGGAAUUGGCAAAUCGUAUUAUACACAUCUCUUUGAAUUGUUUGAAACUAGGUUGUGCAUUAGAUGCAAUAAUGCCACUGUACGGUAUGCAACGAACAAUCAUUCAACUAGUGUUUCAUCACUAACGUAAACCAUUAGUGACAUAACAUGUCAAGCGUUGACAAAGACUACAGGAGUAGCCGAAAUAUUCGCCAAAUUAAAUUUCAGUCUUUCUAAAGUCAA